RNAcentral lists this unclassified non-coding RNA (331 nucleotides) under Hevea brasiliensis (rubber tree). The record is from RNAcentral. Lineage: Eukaryota; Viridiplantae; Streptophyta; Magnoliopsida; Malpighiales; Euphorbiaceae.
UGCUGAUAUAUUCCUCUGAAGGAAAAAUGCAAGAAAAACAGCUAGAAGGAAAAUAAAAAAACCUGAAUUUUUUACCAUUCAAGACAGAUAAAGUGCUUUCAUGCUUAUUAUUUACAUUCUGAGAUUAGAAGAAAUGUAGUACUUUUUAUUUCCCUAAUACUGAUGCACAUCAUUUUGAAUUGCAUUGACGAAAUUGACAAUAGUUAAUCAUUGAUCAGCAGAAUUUGUUGAAGCCAUUCCUUUUGAAGUCCUCUUGCACAGCAGCAACAACAUUGUCAACCUUGUUAAACUCACCACCACUAACAACUUGAAGCAAUCUUUGUUGAAGCAG